CCUACGGGCGGCAGCAGUGGGGAAUAUUGGACAAUGGGGGCAACCCUGAUCCAGCCAUGCCGCGUGUGUGAAGAAGGCCCUCGGGUUGUAAAGCACUUUCAGUGAGGAAGAACGCCUGGUGGUUAAUACCCAUCAGGAAAGACAUCACUCACAGAAGAAGCACCGGCUAACUCCGUGCCAGCAGCCGCGGUAAUACGGAGGGGUGCGAGCGUUAAUCGGAAUUACUGGGCGUAAAGCGCGCGUAGGUGGCUUGAUAAGCCGGUUGUGAAAGCCCCGGGCUCAACCUGGGAACGGCAUCCGGAACUGUCAAGCUAGAGUGCAGGAGAGGAAGGUAGAAUUCCCGGUGUAGCGGUGAAAUGCGUAGAGAUCGGGAGGAAUACCAGUGGCGAAGGCGGCCUUCUGGAUUGACACUGACACUGAGGUGCGAAAGCGUGGGUAGCAAACAGGAUUAGAUACCCGAGUAGUC
Molecule: ribosomal RNA, 466 nt
Filed under: Vreelandella stevensii
Lineage: Bacteria; Pseudomonadati; Pseudomonadota; Gammaproteobacteria; Oceanospirillales; Halomonadaceae
Description: partial 16S ribosomal RNA
Rfam family: Bacterial small subunit ribosomal RNA
Source: RNAcentral